RNAcentral lists this ribosomal RNA (838 nucleotides) under Cadophora sp. Di106-1. RNAcentral's name for it is "eukaryotic LSU rRNA". It matches the Rfam family "Eukaryotic large subunit ribosomal RNA", at positions 64 to 919 of the family's 3401-position model. Lineage: Eukaryota; Fungi; Ascomycota; Leotiomycetes; Helotiales; Ploettnerulaceae. The record is from RNAcentral.
ACCAACAGGGAUUACCUCAGUAACGGCGAGUGAAGCGGUAACAGCUCAAAUUUGAAAGCUAGCUCUUUUAGGGUUCGCAUUGUAAUUUGUAGAAGAUGCUUCGGGUGUGGCCCCGGUCUAAGUUCCUUGGAACAGGACGUCAUAGAGGGUGAGAAUCCCGUAUGUGACUGGGUGCUUUCGCUCAUGUGAAGCUCUUUCGACGAGUCGAGUUGUUUGGGAAUGCAGCUCAAAAUGGGUGGUAAAUUUCAUCUAAAGCUAAAUAUUGGCCAGAGACCGAUAGCGCACAAGUAGAGUGAUCGAAAGAUGAAAAGCACUUUGGAAAGAGAGUUAAACAGUACGUGAAAUUGUUGAAAGGGAAGCGCUUGCAACCAGACUUGCGCGCUGAUGAUCAUCCGGGCUUCUGUCCGGUGCACUCGUCUGCGCUCAGGCCAGCAUCGGUUUCGGUGGUGGGAUAAAGGCCUUGGGAAUGUAGCUUCUUUCGGGGAGUGUUAUAGCCCUCGGUGCAAUGCCGCCUACCGGGACCGAGGACCGCGCUUCGGCUAGGAUGCUGGCGUAAUGGUUGUAAGCGACCCGUCUUGAAACACGGACCAAGGAGUCUAACAUCUAUGCGAGUGUUUGGGUGUCAAACCCAUACGCGUAAUGAAAGUGAACGGAGGUGAGAACCCUUAAGGGUGCAUCAUCGACCGAUCCUGAUGUCUUCGGAUGGAUUUGAGUAAGAGCAUAGCUGUUGGGACCCGAAAGAUGGUGAACUAUGCGUGAAUAGGGUGAAGCCAGAGGAAACUCUGGUGGAGGCUCGCAGCGGUUCUGACGUGCAAAUCGAUCGUCAAAUUUGCGUAUA